This 71-nucleotide transfer RNA is filed under the name Stegodyphus mimosarum. It matches the Rfam family "tRNA". From Rfam's summary of the family: Transfer RNA (tRNA) molecules are approximately 80 nucleotides in length. The record is from Rfam by way of RNAcentral. Lineage: Eukaryota; Metazoa; Arthropoda; Arachnida; Araneae; Eresidae.
GCCUUCGUAGUGUAAAGGUAGAAUACUCGACAGGUAUUCGAGAGGUCCAGGUUCGAGUCCCGGCAAAGGCG